UACGAAGGGAGCUAGCGUUGUUCGGAAUCACUGGGCGUAAAGCGCACGUAGGCGGAUGUGUCAGUCAGGGGUGAAAUCCCGGAGCUCAACUUCGGAACUGCCUUUGAUACUGGAAGGCUUGAGUCCGGGAGAGGUGAGUGGAACUGCGAGUGUAGAGGUGAAAUUCGUAGAUAUGCGGAGGAACACCGAUGGCGAAGGCAAUCCCCUGGACCUAUACUGACGCUCAUGCACGAAAGCGUGGGGAGCAAACAGG
RNAcentral lists this ribosomal RNA (253 nucleotides) under uncultured bacterium. RNAcentral describes it as "partial 16S ribosomal RNA". It matches the Rfam family "Bacterial small subunit ribosomal RNA", at positions 524 to 776 of the family's 1533-position model. The record is from RNAcentral.